CAAAUCUGGAAAUAUUCCAGAUCCCAAAACACAGCACCUAGGCGCAGACUGAAAUACAAAGACAUGCAGAUUCUAAGACAAAUUUGAAAUAAAAUAAAAUGUAAAUAAAGAUCAAUUUAAAGGUCUGUAUGAAGACGAAGGACUAGUCGCGCAAUUUGACCACUUGAAGUGCCAAACUGCGGAUCCAACACAUGGAUCGGGUUUGCGCGCGGAUCUUCCCAACUCUACACAGCACCGUUUCAACCUCAGCACAAAAUCAAGCCUAAAAAACCCUAAAAUCCCACAUUCAAAAACUUAAGAACAAAUUAAAAUAAAAAACCUAUAAUCUAUCUCCCUUAUUCAUUCGGUCGAACAUUAGGCACCUUUCAACUGCCAUUUGGCCUUUGUAUUUGGCCGGCAGUCAUCAAGCGAAGGCUAAAUCUGGUCUUGUUCGACCACAAAUCCAAGAGCCUUGCUCAAAAGCUUCAAGAUCCUCUUUUAGGCUUCGAUUACGACGAAGCAAGCAAGGACAUGAAGGAGCCAACAUUAAGUUCGUUUCAGGUGUGCAUGGCGUGGAGGAGCUAUUCUUGGGCGUGGAGCGUGGCGCGCGUGGAAGAAUCGGUUGGAGGCUGCAACGACUGAAGCUUCUAGUGACCUAGGGUUUCUGCCGAAAAGAUUCAUUAAUGUUUUGGGCUUGGGUAAUGAGUUAUUCAGGUUAGUUGGGUUAUAUUUUUAGGUUAAAUUUAUUAUCGGGUUUGGAGAUUUAUUUGGGUUAAUUGGGUUAUUUUAUUUUUUGUAAAAGAAUUUGGACUUUGACUCAUUUUGGGCCAUUUAUUAUUUUUUCUUUUGUUUUUUUAUAUUUAUUAUUUUUGGUUUAUAAUGGGCCGGGCGAAUUGGGCCUAUUACAUAUGGAAAA
This is a long non-coding RNA of Gossypium arboreum, 895 nucleotides long. RefSeq lists it as uncharacterized. Lineage: Eukaryota; Viridiplantae; Streptophyta; Magnoliopsida; Malvales; Malvaceae. The record is from RefSeq and is a predicted model, not a curated record. The transcript has 2 exons.